This is a non-coding RNA of Cinara cedri, 547 nucleotides long. Lineage: Eukaryota; Metazoa; Arthropoda; Insecta; Hemiptera; Aphididae. The record is from the annotation of a GenBank genome assembly.
CCCGAUUUUACCCGCCCGUCCCGAUUCGAGUUGGACCGAAAAUUAUUCAUCAAAAUAUUCUCCGUCAAGCGGCCCACAAGCGCGUGUACGGUUUUCCGUUUUGUUUUUCGUACAAGGGUAUUUUAGGUUAGCUCUAUGUACACCGCGGGACAGUUGUUCGUAUAAAAACGUUAUUAAAAUCCAUUAUUAUUUUUAUUUUUUUUUUCGGUCAUACGAGUUUGAUUGAGACAAACAGCGCGACAACGGACUAGGCCACACGUUUUCCGCGUUUGAGUUAAUGGCGUCAUAACACAACAACCGCACGCCGUAAAAUUCAAUCCGUAAACGGAUGACCGGGCCGUCUAUUCAUUUUACAAUAAUAUUCACUAAACGACAGCCGCACACUCGCCGCUAUUGCACAUAUUAUUAUCGGCAAUAAUAGAGAUGGAGAACGGCGGCGGAACGAUAGUGAACGGGAUAUAGGAAUAUAGUCCGUUAUCGCGCCGAAGGCCUCGACUAUAACAAUAAUAUCAUAAAAACUGUAUCGACAAUAUUAACAAAAAAAAAA